Long non-coding RNA from Dama dama (fallow deer), 2489 nucleotides. RefSeq lists it as uncharacterized. The transcript is spliced from 3 exons. NCBI's taxonomy places the organism in Eukaryota, Metazoa, Chordata, Mammalia, Artiodactyla, Cervidae. The record is from RefSeq and is a predicted model, not a curated record.
GGUGAGCAGGGUGGUGGAGGGGGGGUGGGGUGUGGUCGAGGUGGGGCAGGGUGUGGAGGGGAGGGGAGGGCAAAGAACCACGGUCAGUGCUCAGCUCAGGUCUCCGGACGGACCCGACCCCAAGAGGCAGGUCUGAAGGGCUGAGCAGAAAGGGCCCCUCUCUGCCCACAUCCCGCCCGCGCGACCGGGAGACCCGCCGCUGCCGCCGCCGCCGCCCGGCUCCGAGGGAUCCCGCCGGACCGGCCCCUUCCACUGCGGCUCACUCUGCCCUGCCUGGCGCCAGUCCUGGAUCGCCGGCUUCCUAUUUCCACCGGACUGGGCUCCUCUCCACUCACUUUAUCAUCCCGUUCCAGGCUGGCGACUUCGCUGCUGAGCUGAAACUGCUAAUUUCUGUGACCAGCUUUUUUCUUAGCUGUGAUCUGGAUGAAUGAGUAGCUGUCUCACAGAGAUGACAAAAAUAAACUCUAAUCCCCCCCAAAAUUUCCACUACAUCUUUCUCAUGCAUAGAUUUAUGAUCUUCAAGCGCUCUGUGCAAUAUGCAAACUUUUUGUGUCUGUAGAUGUGCUGUUGUUUCCAGAUUUCUCUACAUUGCUGCUUUUCCCUUUCACUCUGCACCCCCCCCCCACCCCCCUACACUGGGAAAUGCAGAAACCGUCUGAUCUCAAAGUCUGCCAAGAUGCCACUUUAUAGUGUCUUGGUGUUUGGGGUUUGGGUCUGACUUGGAAGUCAGGAGUCCUUGCCUAAGAACUGAGUGGCUGAGUGUACAGCGGGGGUGGGGGUAAGUAGACAGAAUAGAGGACGGCUCUUCGCUUUACAUUUACUUCCCUGCAUCAUUCAAGCUUUAUGAUCUUGUUGGAAAACAUAUUUUCUCCAUCAUUUUGUCGGGUUAUACAACCAUCUCGGAACUUCUCUGUCAGCUCUUCAGCAGGAAGGGUUCAAAAGUCACUUUAUUUUUUUAAUUGGAAGAUUAUCCUAUUGUCAGAUUUGCCUUUCAAUUAGGAGUCUGAUUUGCGGGAGCUAGAAUCAAGUGCUAGGAGAGCCAGCUGCAAUUUCACAAAUGUAACCUUUAAACUUUGGAGCUCAUCUGAUAUAUAAGGUCGAUCACAGAGAGCUCACAUUUUUGACCCUGCUUAGCAUGCAAAAUGAACCCCAGCAUGACUCUGGAAUUUUAGCUGUACCAGAGAUUCAUGUGCAUUUUGGUAGAGGACGUGUUCUCUUAGACUUAUCUCAUGAUGAAUUGCGCCCUUACAUUUAUAGCCCUGCAUUUUGGUUGUCAGUGGGGGCUGGAGGUGUCCAAGAAAGGAAGGAAAAAAAAAAAGAAGCAGGAAAAGGAAGGUAGGUAUGCCCUUGAAGAAAAUGAACAUGGAAGAAAGCUGGAUCUGAGUUAAAUUGAGUUUUGCUGGCUAUUAAGUAUAUGAACAUGAUUCAUUCUAACUGAUAUGUGCUCUGAUUAGUAAACAUAUUAAAAAACACAUCAGGGUACUACUGAAAUCCUGCCUUUUAACCUUCCCCUUUGAUUGGUAAAAGAUGGAAGACACCUGCUUAAGGGAGGGGAAAACCUGAAAAUUCUUUGGUUUAGAAGUCAGGAGUUUCCCACUUAACAAUGAUCAACAUUAAUAUGCACAUGGGAUAUUUACUCUUAAAUAGACUAGGCAGGAUCCAACCCAAGCGUUUAUCCCUCACAAUGGUCUUUCUUUAUCAAUAUCCUAGGUUGUUUGAGAGCAAGACUACUUUAUUCAAUCUUGCUGAGAUGCUGUGUUCUCAUAGUCAUAUUUAUAAUAAAAAAAAGCCCCAAUACAUGAUAAGAUAAUAGAAAAGGAUUUUUUUUAUUAGAGCAGGGAAAGGAAAGAGAACAGAUUAUCCAAAUCUCUGGCCUUACUAUUUUUUUUAAAUUUCUCUUAUUUAGUAGAUCUUGAAUAGGAAGACUGUGUAACUGUAAUUUAGUGCCUUUUGGGGGUUCUGUUUCAUUAGCAAUUAAAGUUAUCAAGUGUGUGAAGUGUCACCCAACUUUCAGACACUAAAAGUACAAUUUUUAUGGUAUGCUUUUGAUGUUGAUCUUUUAUGAGCUUCCAAUGACAUAUUUGGAACUAAACCCAAAGGCAAAUUAAGAGUAUUGAUCACUUAAAUUAUUGCCAUCUUUCCAUUUUAUCAUAAGGGAAUUAGAAAUUAAGGUUUUCUAGACCUUGAAGUAUCUUAAUUUUGAAUUUCUACAUAUAUGUAUAUAUAUAUAUAUAUUUAUUGGUGGGAUAUAUUGUUGAUCACUAAUUAUGAUUACUAGGACUUCUGCCAUUUCCAAACAAUAGAAAAGUCACAUUUCAAAAAUUUUAACUACCUCUAAUUUCAAUGCUUAUUUAACAACUUGGGUAGAAGGGAAAGGGGGUGGUUAGGGAUUGCAAUUCUUAAACAGCUGUUAAAGUGGUUAGGCUGCUUUCUUCUGGAUUUUGAAGUUACACUAUUUGAGAAUGUUUUAAAUUCAGAGAAAAAUUACA